CCUGUGGACAAUACAUUUCUGGUGACAAUGU
RNAcentral lists this non-coding RNA (31 nucleotides) under Rattus norvegicus (Norway rat). The record is from RNAcentral. Lineage: Eukaryota; Metazoa; Chordata; Mammalia; Rodentia; Muridae.